GAUGAACGCUGGCGGCGUGCUUAACACAUGCAAGUCGAACGGAAAGGCUCCUGCUUGCAGGGGUACUCGAGUGGCGAACGGGUGAGUAACACGUGGGUGAUCUGCCCUGCACUUCGGUAUAAGCCUGGGAAACUGGGUCUAAUACCGGAUAGGACGAUGGUUUGGAUGCCAUUGUGGAAAGUUUUUUCGGUGUGGGAUGAGCUCGCGGCCUAUCAGCUUGUUGGUGGGGUAAUGGCCUACCAAGGCGUCGACGGGUAGCCGGCCUGAGAGGGUGUACGGCCACAUUGGGACUGAGAUACGGCCCAGACUCCUACGGGAGGCAGCAGUGGGGAAUAUUGCACAAUGGGAGCAAGCCUGAUGCAGAGACGCCGCGUGGGGGAUGACGGCCUUCGGGUUGUAAACUCCUUUCGCUAGGGACGAAGCGCAAGUGACGGUACCUGGAGAAGAAGCACCGGCUAACUACGUG
Molecule: ribosomal RNA, 466 nt
Filed under: uncultured bacterium
Lineage: Bacteria
Description: partial 16S ribosomal RNA
Rfam family: Bacterial small subunit ribosomal RNA
Source: RNAcentral